Molecule: transfer RNA, 74 nt
Filed under: Chamaesiphon minutus PCC 6605
Lineage: Bacteria; Bacillati; Cyanobacteriota; Cyanophyceae; Gomontiellales; Chamaesiphonaceae
Also listed under: 3 other names
Description: tRNA-Pro (GGG) (tRNA-Pro-GGG-1-1)
Rfam family: tRNA
About the family: Transfer RNA (tRNA) molecules are approximately 80 nucleotides in length. Their secondary structure includes four short double-helical elements and three loops (D, anti-codon, and T loops). Further hydrogen bonds mediate the characteristic L-shaped molecular structure. tRNAs have two regions of fundamental functional importance: the anti-codon, which is responsible for specific mRNA codon recognition, and the 3' end, to which the tRNAs corresponding amino acid is attached (by aminoacyl-tRNA synthetases). tRNAs cope with the degeneracy of the genetic code in two manners: having more than one tRNA (with a specific anti-codon) for a particular amino acid; and 'wobble' base-pairing, i.e. permitting non-standard base-pairing at the 3rd anti-codon position.
Source: Rfam by way of RNAcentral
CGGGACGUAGCGCAGCUUGGUAGCGCACUACUUUGGGGUAGUAGGGGUCGGAGGUUCAAAUCCUCUCGUUCCGA